AUUGAACGCUGGCGGCAUGCCUUACACAUGCAAGUCGAACGGCAGCACGGGUGCUUGCCCCUGGUGGCGAGUGGCGAACGGGUGAGUAAUACAUCGGAACAUGUCCUGUAGUGGGGGAUAGCCCGGCGAAAGCCGGAUUAAUACCGCAUACGAUCUACGGAUGAAAGCGGGGGACCUUCGGGCCUCGCGCUAUAGGGUUGGCCGAUGGCUGAUUAGCUAGUUGGUGGGGUAAAGGCCUACCAAGGCGACGAUCAGUAGUUGGUCUGAGAGGACGACCAGCCACACUGGGACUGAGACACGGCCCAGACUCCUACGGGAGGCAGCAGUGGGGAAUUUUGGACAAUGGGCGAAAGCCUGAUCCAGCAAUGCCGCGUGUGUGAAGAAGGCCUUCGGGUUGUAAAGCACUUUUGUCCGGAAAGAAAUCCUUGGCUCUAAUACAGUCGGGGGAUGACGGUACCGGAAGAAUAAGCACCGGCUAACUACGUG
This 486-nucleotide ribosomal RNA is filed under the name uncultured bacterium. RNAcentral describes it as "partial 16S ribosomal RNA". It matches the Rfam family "Bacterial small subunit ribosomal RNA", at positions 30 to 507 of the family's 1533-position model. The record is from RNAcentral.